AACGAACGCUGGCGGCAUGCCUAACACAUGCAAGUCGAACGAGACCUUCGGGUCUAGUGGCGCACGGGUGCGUAACGCGUGGGAACCUGCCCUUAGGUUCGGAAUAACUCCCCGAAAGGGGUGCUAAUACCGGAUAAUGUCUUCGGACCAAAGAUUUAUCGCCUUUGGAUGGGCCCGCGUUGGAUUAGCUAGUUGGUAGGGUAAAAGCCUACCAAGGCGACGAUCCAUAGCUGGUCUGAGAGGAUGAUCAGCCACACUGGGACUGAGACACGGCCCAGACUCCUACGGGAGGCAGCAGUGGGGAAUAUUGGACAAUGGGCGAAAGCCUGAUCCAGCAAUGCCGCGUGAGUGAUGAAGGCCUUAGGGUUGUAAAGCUCUUUUACCCGGGAUGAUAAUGACAGUACCGGGAGAAUAAGCUCCGGCUAAC
RNAcentral lists this ribosomal RNA (427 nucleotides) under uncultured bacterium. RNAcentral's name for it is "partial 16S ribosomal RNA". It matches the Rfam family "Bacterial small subunit ribosomal RNA", at positions 29 to 501 of the family's 1533-position model. The record is from RNAcentral.